AAAAAAAUUAAAAAAAAUCAGCUUUUUUCCGCCGAUUACGUGACUUUCCCCUCUUAAAUGUAAAACGCACAAUAUAAUAUUUUAUGCCUUAUAAGAGUUCGCAACGAUCUGCACAUUUCGAGCCGAUUCCUGAAACGACGCCCACUUCUCCCCCCGCGACCGCUCGCCGCUCGAAGGUCGAGCUCGCAACACGCGAGCGGUGCUCUGCCUCAGGAGCGUCCCUAAGUUGAAAAUACGCUUAUACCUUUGUUGUGCGCUCGAACGCACGAUGUUGGACCUAAGUCCGAUUGACGCCGGGUAGGGGGAAUAAGGACCGGUGAGAAGACUUACUGAAGGAAGAAUCCGUUUGGAACAAAGGCGUUUAUUUUAGCACUGUCCAUUAUCACUCACGAGCGUAAAACUCGUAUAACAACGCAGGGACGCGGACUUCUGAUGUUUCUGGGUGUGGAGUACCUCAUUGAAGCAGGGGUGAAGGGUGUAGGCAUGGCCCACAAACUACAGCUCGAGCUUCUCCGCUUCCCCUUCCACACGCGCGAGUCACGUGCACAUACUGUAGCAUAGUAGGGACCGAGAGCGGAGGGGAUAGGUGGAUUGAGGAGUCAGAAGGAAAGACGGGAAGAAGCAAUCGUGCGAAGAGGGAGCAUGUUCUCCUCCUCACAUGCUUCGUGGGCGCCCACGGGACCAUGCCUGUUCUAUUGUAUUAUAAAUGCAUGGUCAUUUAAUAAGAAUUAUUUCUAUAAUUUUUAACCUUUAAGAAUUCUUAAAUAAAAUACGUUAUAUUAUUAUACAUA
Long non-coding RNA from Solenopsis invicta (red fire ant), 791 nucleotides. RefSeq lists it as uncharacterized. The transcript is spliced from 2 exons. The record is from RefSeq and is a predicted model, not a curated record. NCBI's taxonomy places the organism in Eukaryota, Metazoa, Arthropoda, Insecta, Hymenoptera, Formicidae.